AAUCAAUCGUCGCUUCUUCUCUCGCACUGACUCUCUCUCGCCGUGAACGAUAACAACAAAUCGAUUCAAAUCUCUCGGUUUUGCUCUCUCAAAUUUCGCGAGUUCCAUGGAGGAAAACAGAACCUGAGAUAACUUCCUCCUCUCUUUCUCGAUUUCGUUCGCGGUGAAGAAAAAAAACAAAAGCUAUUGGCUUCUCGCUCAGACGCUCUCACUUGAUGAGUUCUCUCUCGCUCAACAAACGAGAAUGAAAACAAUAACUUUCUCUCUUGCUCUCGGUUGAACAACGACAACAACUGAUGCUCUCGGUUUCUCACGGCAGGGCAUGUGGAAGAGUUUUUUAGAGGUUCUUGCCGACAAGAACAAACCUUAUUCUGAUUUCACUCACGAACCCAAAAACUAGCAGCAACAAUUAUCAUAUGUUAACAAAAACUAGCAGCAACAAUUAUCAGUGAUAAAAAGUGAAAUUUGAGUCACCUGCGGCGAGGAGGUUUUCGCCGGAUUUUGUUGAGAUUCAGUUCUGGCCAGUGAGCAAAAAGCAUGUUUACCGGCUGUGGUGUUGAAGAUGAUGUGGAGCUGCCACUGGAGUUCGGAGGCUCUUUGAUGAAGGUGAUGCCACAACACCUCUUUUGGAUAUUAGGGAGACUUGAAGAUGCAACUUCAAGUUGUUGCUCUCUACUAAGGUAUGAACUACUUCUUCACCCCUUUUCCAACUAUGGAACUAAGAAACUUUGAAAAUUAUGAGAGAAAAGGGAGGAGUGAAAAA
Vicia villosa (hairy vetch) is the source of this 763-nucleotide long non-coding RNA. RefSeq lists it as uncharacterized. The transcript has 4 exons. NCBI's taxonomy places the organism in Eukaryota, Viridiplantae, Streptophyta, Magnoliopsida, Fabales, Fabaceae. The record is from RefSeq and is a predicted model, not a curated record.